UACGUAGGGUGCAAGCGUUGUCCGGAAUUAUUGGGCGUAAAGAGCUCGUAGGCGGUCUGUCGCGUCGGCUGUGAAAACCCGGGGCUCAACCCCGGGCCUGCAGUCGAUACGGGCAGACUAGAGUGUGGUAGGGGAGACUGGAAUUCCUGGUGUAGCGGUGAAAUGCGCAGAUAUCAGGAGGAACACCGGUGGCGAAGGCGGGUCUCUGGGCCAUAACUGACGCUGAGGAGCGAAAGCGUGGGGGAGCGAACAGG
RNAcentral lists this ribosomal RNA (254 nucleotides) under uncultured bacterium. RNAcentral describes it as "partial 16S ribosomal RNA". It matches the Rfam family "Bacterial small subunit ribosomal RNA", at positions 524 to 776 of the family's 1533-position model. The record is from RNAcentral.